Molecule: ribosomal RNA, 253 nt
Filed under: uncultured bacterium
Lineage: Bacteria
Description: partial 16S ribosomal RNA
Rfam family: Bacterial small subunit ribosomal RNA
Source: RNAcentral
GACGGAGGGUGCAAGCGUUCUUCGGAAUCAUUGGGCGUAAAGAGCGUGUAGGCGGCCGGUUAAGUCAGGUGUGAAAGACCGGGGCUCAACCUCGGAAGUGCACUUGAAACUGGUCGGCUUGAGUUCGGGAGAGGGAAGCGGAAUUCCUGGUGUAGAGGUGAAAUUCGUAGAUAUCAGGAGGAACACCGGUGGCGAAGGCGGCUUCCUGGCCCGAAACUGACGCUGAGACGCGAAAGCGUGCGGAGCAAACAUU